Molecule: long non-coding RNA, 841 nt
Organism: Vanessa atalanta (red admiral)
Lineage: Eukaryota; Metazoa; Arthropoda; Insecta; Lepidoptera; Nymphalidae
Exons: 3
Source: RefSeq, a predicted model, not a curated record
GGCGCGGGGCGUAUCGGGGCGCGCGGGAGGACGGCAUAAGCGAUAUUGGGUUUUAUUAAGUAUGAAUGCAGCGUCUGACAGCAAACACCGUAUUUCCCGCGCGCCGCUCGCUUGUCCCACAUUCACGAACAUUACAACAAAUGCAAAUAGUGACACAAUUAACUUAUUGAUUCAAGGUUAAAAUUGGACAGAACAAUAUCAGGUUAGGGAUUUAAAAGUUACAUACAAGCAAAGGAGGAUAGACGGUUACAGUAAAAAACGGGCGGUUAAAACAGUGGAAGUGUACGAGGAAGCCAAGGUCAAGGGAUGAGUUCCCCAAGCGCUGACCAGACCUAGCCUAUUGCUUUCGUGCCGCAAACAGACAGGUUACGAAGAGGAGGAGGCAGGUCAUUCCAGCACCUAGUGGCGCAGAACCUAAAGCUUCCUCGGAAACUCACCGUUCUAUGUAUUGGCAUUCUAAGUUUUAUCAAUGACGCUCUAGUGACAUGCUCACUAUCAUUAUUUCCUAACCACUGUAAUUUAUGAUAGAGGUAAGGUGGAACCUGGUAUUUUAUAGUGCCAAAAAGUAACGUAGCGAAAUGUAAUUGCAUACGAUAAUUCAUUUUUAAGAUGUUAGCAUUAUUUAAAUAUGGUGUGAUAUGUGUACGUGGCGGUAUUUUAAAGCAGUAGCGAGCGCAGGCGUUCUGGACUCGUUGGAUGAUUUUUUUUGUACGUUCAAGUAAACGGGGCCCUAUAACUACAUCUGCAUAAUUAAAUUUAGAAAGAACUAACGCCUCACAAAGUCUAAUGCGUACUUUGGUAGAAAUGGAGUCUCUAAUAUUAUAAAGAAUUUUUAACCUAU